UUCCUUGUAGUUUAGUGGCAGAGUACUGGUGUGUAAAACCAGGGGUCAGGGUCCAAUCCCCAGCAAGGAAG
This 71-nucleotide transfer RNA is filed under the name Agrilus planipennis (emerald ash borer). It matches the Rfam family "tRNA". Rfam says of the family: Transfer RNA (tRNA) molecules are approximately 80 nucleotides in length. Their secondary structure includes four short double-helical elements and three loops (D, anti-codon, and T loops). The record is from Rfam by way of RNAcentral. Lineage: Eukaryota; Metazoa; Arthropoda; Insecta; Coleoptera; Buprestidae.